RNAcentral lists this ribosomal RNA (491 nucleotides) under uncultured bacterium. RNAcentral's name for it is "partial 16S ribosomal RNA". It matches the Rfam family "Bacterial small subunit ribosomal RNA", at positions 29 to 507 of the family's 1533-position model. The record is from RNAcentral.
AGUGAACGCUGGCGGUAGGCCUAACACAUGCAAGUCGAACGGCAGCACAGUAAGAGCUUGCUCUUACGGGUGGCGAGUGGCGGACGGGUGAGGAAUACAUCGGAAUCUACUUUUUCGUGGGGGAUAACGUAGGGAAACUUACGCUAAUACCGCAUACGACCUACGGGUGAAAGCAGGGGAUCUUCGGACCUUGCGCGAUUGAAUGAGCCGAUGCCGGAUUAGCUAGUUGGCGGGGUAAAGGCCCACCAAGGCGACGAUCCGUAGCUGGUCUGAGAGGAUGAUCAGCCAAACUGGAACUGAGAAGCGGUCCAGACUCCUACGGGAGGCAGCAGUGGGGAAUAUGGACAAUGGGCGCAAGCCUGAUCCAGCCAUACCGCGUGGGUGAAGAAGGCCUUCGGGUUUUAAAGCCCUUUUGUUGGGAAAGAAAAGCAGCAGGUUAAUACCCCGCUGUUCUGACGGUACCCAAAGAAUAAGCACCGGCUAACUUCGUG